RNAcentral lists this ribosomal RNA (429 nucleotides) under Actinomycetes bacterium. RNAcentral describes it as "Actinobacteria bacterium partial 16S ribosomal RNA". It matches the Rfam family "Bacterial small subunit ribosomal RNA", at positions 355 to 776 of the family's 1533-position model. Lineage: Bacteria; Bacillati; Actinomycetota; Actinomycetes. The record is from RNAcentral.
UAGGGAAUCUUCCGCAAUGGGCGAAAGCCUGACGGAGCAACGCCGCGUGAGUGAUGAAGGUCUUCGGAUCGUAAAACUCUGUUAUUAGGGAAGAACAAAUGUGUAAGUAACUAUGCACGUCUUGACGGUACCUAAUCAGAAAGCCACGGCUAACUACGUGCCAGCAGCCGCGGUAAUACGUAGGUGGCAAGCGUUAUCCGGAAUUAUUGGGCGUAAAGCGCGCGUAGGCGGUUUUUUAAGUCUGAUGUGAAAGCCCACGGCUCAACCGUGAGGGGUCAUUGGAAACUGGAAAACUUGACUGCAGAAGAGGAAAGUGGAAUUCCAUGUGUAGCGGUGGAAUUCGCAGAGAUAUGGGGGGACACCAGUGGCGAAGGCGACUUUCUGGUCUGUUACUGACGCUGAUGUGCGAAAGCGUGGGGAUCAAACCGG